AACAAUCACUUCGGUGUGCGUUUUUGGGCGUCGAGUGGCGGACGGGUGAGUAACGCGUGGGAAUCUACCCUUUAGUUGGGGACAACAUAUGGAAACGUAUGCUAAUACCGAAUAUGCUCUACGGAGUAAAGGUGGCCUCUACUUGUAAGCUAUCGCUAAAGGAUGAGCCCGCGUUAGAUUAGCUAGUUGGUAAGGUAAAGGCUUACCAAGGCGACGAUCUAUAGCUGGUUUGAGAGGAUGAUCAGCCACACUGGGACUGAGACACGGCCCAGACUCCUACGGGAGGCAGCAGUGGGGAAUAUUGCACAAUGAGGGAAACCUUGAUGCAGCCAUGCCGCGUGUGUGAAGAAGGCCCGAGGGUUGUAAAGCACUUUCAAUUGUGAGGAAGAUUAAGUAGCUAAUACCUGCUUAGUUUGACGUUAACUUUAGAAGAAGCACCGGCUAACUCUGUGCCAGCAGCCGCGGUAAUACAGAGGGUGCAAGCGUUAUUCGGAAUUACUGGGCGUAAAGCGCGCGUAGGCGGACUGUUAAGUCGGUUGUGAAAGCCCUGGGCUCAACCUAGGAACUGCAUCCGAUACUGGCAAUCUAGAGUUUAAGAGAGGGAAGUGGAAUUCCAGGUGUAGCAGUGAAAUGCGUAGAUAUCUG
RNAcentral lists this ribosomal RNA (645 nucleotides) under uncultured bacterium. Its description in RNAcentral is "bacterial SSU rRNA". It matches the Rfam family "Bacterial small subunit ribosomal RNA", at positions 70 to 700 of the family's 1533-position model. The record is from RNAcentral.